This 430-nucleotide long non-coding RNA is filed under the name Carica papaya (papaya). RNAcentral's name for it is "long non-coding RNA (CPAP_LNC014164)". Lineage: Eukaryota; Viridiplantae; Streptophyta; Magnoliopsida; Brassicales; Caricaceae. The record is from RNAcentral.
GCGGUCGAAAAUCCCUCCGGUGCGGCGGCGGGUGGCGGCGGCCGGCUUCUGGUUCGUCUUCUCCGGCGAGGGCAGGCGACUAGGGUUUGGGGUCUGGUGUGGGGGUCGUAUUUAUACCCUUUUGCCUUUUGAUCUCAGCCGUCCAUUUUGAUUUAAUCUGGGUCGUCCGUUUUUGAUUAAAUCUGGGCCGUCCGUGCGAUUAAAUCUUGACCGUCCGUUUUUGAUUAAAUCUGGGCCGUCCGUGCGAUUAAAUCUGGGCCGUCCGUGCGCGCGAUUGAUCUGGGCCGUCCGAUCGCGCGCACGCGGAUCGCCAACGUGGCCCGUCCCCGGUCGACGUGGUUUUACCACGUGGCAUGUCCUGGUUGGCCAGGACUGCUGACUGGGUCUGCUGACGUGGCACGCGCGGUUUUUUUUUUUUUUUUUUUCAAUU